Molecule: ribosomal RNA, 484 nt
Filed under: uncultured bacterium
Lineage: Bacteria
Description: partial 16S ribosomal RNA
Rfam family: Bacterial small subunit ribosomal RNA
Source: RNAcentral
AUUGAACGCUGGCGGCAGGCCUAACACAUGCAAGUCGAGCGGAUGAAGGGAGCUUGCUCCUGGAUUCAGCGGCGGACGGGUGGGUAAUGCCUAGGAAUCUGCCUGGUCGGGGAGGAUAACGUCCGGAAACGGGCGCUAAUACCGCAUACGUCCUGAGGGAGAAAGAGGGGGAUCUUCGGACCUCACGCUAUCAGGUGAUCCUAGGUCGGAUUAGCUAGUUGGUGGGGUAAAGGCCUACCAAGGCGACGAUCCGUAACUGGUCUGAGAGGAUGAUCAGUCACACUGGAACUGAGACACGGUCCAGACUCCUACGGGAGGCAGCAGUGGGGAAUAUUGGACAAUGGGCGAAAGCCUGAUCCAGCCAUGCCGCGUGUGUGAAGAAGGUCUUAGGAUUGUAAAGCACUUUAAGUUGGGAGGAAGGGCAGUAAGUUAAUACCUUGCUGUUUUGACGUUACCAACAGAAUAAGCACCGGCUAACUUCGUG